CCUACGGGUGGCAGCGGUGAGGAAUAUUGGUCAAUGGGCGCGAGCCUGAACCAGCCAAGUAGCGUGAAGGAUGACUGCCCUACGGGUUGUAAACUUCUUUUAUAAAGGAAUAAAGUGAGUCACGUGUGCCUUUUUGUAUGUACUUUAUGAAUAAGGAUCGGCUAACUUCGUGCCAGCAGCCGCGGUAAUACGGAGGAUCCGAGCGUUAUCCGGAUUUAUUGGGUUUAAAGGGAGCGUAGAUGGGUUGUUAAGUUAGUUGUGAAAGUUUGGGGCUCAACCGUAAAAUUGCAAUUGAUACUGGUAGUCUUGAGUGCAGUUGAGGUAGGCGGAAUGCGUGGUGUAGCGGUGAAAUGCUUAGAUAUCACGAAGAACUCCGAUUGCAAAGGCAGCUUACUAGACUGCCACUGACAUUGAUGCUCGAAAGUGUGGGUAUCAAACAGGAUUAGAUACCCCUGUAGUC
RNAcentral lists this ribosomal RNA (460 nucleotides) under uncultured bacterium. Its description in RNAcentral is "partial 16S ribosomal RNA". It matches the Rfam family "Bacterial small subunit ribosomal RNA", at positions 338 to 795 of the family's 1533-position model. The record is from RNAcentral.